Molecule: ribosomal RNA, 497 nt
Filed under: uncultured bacterium
Lineage: Bacteria
Description: partial 16S ribosomal RNA
Rfam family: Bacterial small subunit ribosomal RNA
Source: RNAcentral
GAUGAACGCUGGCGGCGUGCCUAAUACAUGCAAGUCGAGCGAACAGACGAGGAGCUUGCUCCUCUGACGUUAGCGGCGGACGGGUGAGUAACACGUGGAUAACCUACCUAUAAGACUGGGAUAACUUCGGGAAACCGGAGCUAAUACCGGAUAAUAUAUUGAACCGCAUGGUUCAAUAGUGAAAGACGGUUUUGCUGUCACUUAUAGAUGGAUCCGCGCCGCAUUAGCUAGUUGGUAAGGUAACGGCUUACCAAGGCAACGAGGCGUAGCCGACCUGAGAGGGUGAUCGGCCACACUGGAACUGAACCACGGUCCAGACUCCUACGGGAGGCAGCAGUAGGGAAUCUUCCGCAAUGGGCGAAAGCCUGACGGAGCAACGCCGCGUGAGUGAUGAAGGUCUUCGGAUCGUAAAACUCUGUUAUUAGGGAAGAACAAAUGUGUAAGUAACUAUGCACGUCUUGACGGUACCUAAUCAGAAAGCCACGGCUAACUACGUG